This 90-nucleotide transfer RNA is filed under the name Candidatus Saccharimonadota bacterium. Its description in RNAcentral is "Candidatus Saccharibacteria bacterium tRNA-Ser". It matches the Rfam family "tRNA". Rfam says of the family: Transfer RNA (tRNA) molecules are approximately 80 nucleotides in length. Their secondary structure includes four short double-helical elements and three loops (D, anti-codon, and T loops). Further hydrogen bonds mediate the characteristic L-shaped molecular structure. tRNAs have two regions of fundamental functional importance: the anti-codon, which is responsible for specific mRNA codon recognition, and the 3' end, to which the tRNAs corresponding amino acid is attached (by aminoacyl-tRNA synthetases). tRNAs cope with the degeneracy of the genetic code in two manners: having more than one tRNA (with a specific anti-codon) for a particular amino acid; and 'wobble' base-pairing, i.e. permitting non-standard base-pairing at the 3rd anti-codon position. Lineage: Bacteria; Candidatus Saccharimonadota. The record is from RNAcentral.
GGAAGAGUGUCCGAGUGGCCGAUGGAGCACGCUUGGAAAGCGUGUGUACGGGCAACCGUACCAUGGGUUCGAAUCCCAUCUCUUCCGCCA